CCCCCCCCCCCCCCCCCCGUUUUCUCCCGGGACGGGCCCCGUCGCCCCCGGUUGUCCCCAUGGUGCCGGGUCCCCGCCCUGCUGGACCUACCGGGGCAGCGGUCUCUCCUGCGGGUCCCCCCGAGACCUCACCUCCGGCCCCCGGUCCGGCUCCCUCCUCUCACCGGGGCGGCCUCGGUGCCGUUCGCCUGCUGCCCGCGCAGCCCCCCCCAGGCGUGAUCCCGCGGGUCCCGGGGGCCACCCCCGCAGCUGUCACCGAGCCGGCCGGCGCCGAGUCCGACCCCCAGGGAGGGACUCGCGGCAGGACGAGCACUUGGGGAAUUUCACUUGUGUCUCCUGGACCGGUUAUUUAUAGGAAUCCCCAAAUCCAUCCACUCCAGCUGCCCGCGGACUGCACACUGACCCCGUCCCGAGCAGGGAUUCCUCAGCAUCCCGGGAGCAGGACAUGCAGCCGUCCCUGCCCUCGGUCCCCUCCCAGCUCUCGGUGCUCAGCAGACUGCUAAAAAGACUCUUUAGCCUCUGAACAGGCUGAGAGUGACACACGAAUCCCACAGUGCAGGGCUGGGCACACGGGCAGGGGGACAGGAUCUGCUGCCGCAGGAGGCAGGUGAGGGCUCCCAGCCCAAGCUCGGUAAGUCGGGAUCACAAGCCCACGGAGAUCCCUCAGUGUCACUCUUGCUGAGACUCCCCCACACUCACUCCAGGUGAAACCAGACCUUUCCCUUCCCUUCCACACAGUGAGAGCGCGCCAGGGCCAGGAGAGCCUGGCACAGCCUGAUGGUGCCACCGCAGAGGGUCAAGCAGAGCACAUCUGUCUCCCACACCCCAGCGAGGCUCUCCCGCCUGCCAUCGGCUGUGAAACAGCCCCACCAAUGCCCAGGGAACAGUCCAAACCAAGGCCCAGCCUCCCUGCAGAGCUGGGAAGAGCCAAAAAGACACAGAGAGCCCUGGGGUGGGUGUAGGACAGCUGGAUGUGGGCUCCUGACACCCCUCUUCCAACAGCCACCACCAGCAGCCAGUGCUCCACCCUACCUAAGGCUGAGAGGUUUCUUGGGGUAAGGGAACACCUGAAGGCCCCGCUGUCCUUCUGCCUCCCACGCCAACACCGCACCCAGGGCAUGAGGAAAGGGCCAGCCCCUGGUUUUCUGACGCCCAUACCAGCAUCGACUCAGGUCCAGCUGCAGCCCUGAGGGCUAAAAGCAGCUCCUACUCAGUGUAGGCUUGGGAGGAAUGGUGCAGGUGGAUAGAGCUGGUUUCCUGGACCACAAAGUUCCUUUCAUCCCUCUCCUUCCCCCCACACAGCACAGCAGAAUAGCCCCAGGAUCAGCUGCUGUCAGGCCAAACCCAGACCAGGUGCUUUAUUCACUUCAUAUUUAUUUUUCACAAAGACUGUACAAAAUUCUUAUAAAACUCUGGUGUGGGGAUGGGCUAUGACAUUGAUCCAAAAAAUAAUUCCCAUGCAGUCCCACCAGUUCCAUAACUUACAAGGAAACAGAUAAGCUACAGAGAGCUGCGAGUCCUGGAGUAUUUACACCGAGGAGGGCAGGAACAGGAGACAAAGCAACACGUGACGAGAGGUAUUUACAGCACGGACACACAGGCCCCCUCACCUCACGAGAACGGCAGCAGCGACAGCAGGUCAGGCCCGUGGUGCUCCGAGGCCGACAGAGAAUCUGGGCUAUUUACAGUAUCUCACAUAUUAACAGCUUUACAAACGUGUCCAGGAAGUUCAUCUCAUGUAUAAAAAAAAAAAGCACCAAGUGUCUGAA
This is a long non-coding RNA of Corvus hawaiiensis (hawaiian crow), 1769 nucleotides long. RefSeq lists it as uncharacterized. The transcript has 2 exons. The record is from RefSeq and is a predicted model, not a curated record. NCBI's taxonomy places the organism in Eukaryota, Metazoa, Chordata, Aves, Passeriformes, Corvidae.